This 587-nucleotide ribosomal RNA is filed under the name uncultured alpha proteobacterium SIC.42340. Its description in RNAcentral is "bacterial SSU rRNA". It matches the Rfam family "Bacterial small subunit ribosomal RNA", at positions 509 to 1081 of the family's 1533-position model. Lineage: Bacteria; Pseudomonadati; Pseudomonadota; Alphaproteobacteria. The record is from RNAcentral.
CAGCAGCCGCGGUAAUACGGGAAGGGCAAGCGUUAUCCGGCAUGACUGGGCAUAAAGAGUCCGUAGACUGUAGAGUAAGUUUUUUGUUAAAUUUUAAGACCUAAUCUUAAACUUGCAAUUAAUACUGCUUUGCUUUGAGUUUAAUACAGAAAAGUAGAAUUUUAUACGACAGGGGUGAAAUCCGUAUAUAUAUAAAGGAAUGCCAACCGCGAAGGCAACUUUUUGGUAUAAACUGACGUUGAGGGACGAAAGCGUGGGUAGCAAACAGGAUUAGAGACCCUGGUAGUCCACGCCGUAAAUUCUGAGUGCUGUAAUUUAAUUGUAAUAUUUUUUUAUUACUUAGAUUUUCAAGCUAACGCAAUAAGCACUCCGCCUGAGGAGUACGAUCGCAAGAUUGGAACUCAAAGGAAUUGACGGGGUCUAACACUAGUGGUGGAGCAUGUGGUUUAAUGCGAUAAUCCGCGCAAAAUCUUACCAAUUCUUGACAUAUUUAAACAAUUAUGCAAAUUAAUAAUGGUUUUUAUGUAAGAUGUUCUUUUACAGGUGUUGCAUGACUGUCGUCAGCUCGUGUCGUGAGACGUCUGGUU